CCUACGGGGGGCAGCAGUGAGGAAUAUUGGUCAAUGGACGAGAGUCUGAACCAGCCAAGUAGCGUGAAGGAUGACUGCCCUAUGGGUUGUAAAUUUCUUUUAUAUGGGAAUAAAAUGUUCCACGUGUGGGUUUUUGUAUGUACCAUAUGAAUAAGGAUCGGCUAACUCCGUGCCAGCAGCCGCGGCAAUACGGGGGGUCCGAGCGUUAUCCGGAUUUAUUGGGUUUAAAGGGAGCGUAGGGGGAUUGUUAAGUUAGUUGUGAAAGUUUGCGGCUCAACCGGAGAAUUGCAGUUGAAACUGGCAGGCUUGAGUACAGUAGAGGUGGGCGGAAUUCGUGGUGUAGCGGUGAAAUGCGUAGAUAUCACGAAGAACACCGAUUGCGAAGGCAGCUCACUGGACUGCGACUGACACUGAGGCUCGAAAGUGUGGGUAUCAAACAGGAUUAGAUACCCGUGUAGUC
Molecule: ribosomal RNA, 460 nt
Filed under: uncultured bacterium
Lineage: Bacteria
Description: partial 16S ribosomal RNA
Rfam family: Bacterial small subunit ribosomal RNA
Source: RNAcentral